UGGGGAAUAUUGCGCAAUGGGGGCAACCCUGACGCAGCCAUGCCGCGUGAAUGAAGAAGGCCUUCGGGUUGUAAAGUUCUUUCGGUAGCGAGGAAGGCAUUUAGUUUAAUAGACUAGGUGAUAGACGUUAACUACAGAAGAAGCACCGGCUAACUCCGUGCCAGCAGCCGCGGUAAUACGGAGGGUGCGAGCGUUAAUCGGAAUAACUGGGCGUAAAGGGCACGCAGGCGGUGACUUAAGUGAGGUGUGAAAGCCCCGGGCUUAACCUGGGAAUUGCAUUUCAUACUGGGUCGCUAGAGUACUUUAGGGAGGGGUAGAAUUCCACGUGUAGCGGUGAAAUGCGUAGAGAUGUGGAGGAAUACCGAAGGCGAAGGCAGCCCCUUGGGAAUGUACUGACGCUCAUGUGCGAAAGCGUGGGGAGCAAACAGG
Molecule: ribosomal RNA, 429 nt
Filed under: bacterium
Lineage: Bacteria
Description: partial 16S ribosomal RNA
Rfam family: Bacterial small subunit ribosomal RNA
Source: RNAcentral